CCAGUUGAUCCAGAAUGCUGCAGCUCGUGUUCUCACUAAAACUAAGAAAAGAGAUCACAUCACUCCUGCACUAGCUGCUCUGCACUGGCUACCCAUAAAAUCAAGAAUCACUUUUAAAAUUCUUCUCUUAACGUACAAAGCCUUGAUUGGUGAUGCACCAUCAUAUCUUAAGGAGCUUGUAGUACCAUAUUGCCCCACUAGAGAGCUACGCUCACUAAAUGCGGGACUAGUAGUUCCUAGAGUCUUAAAAAGUAGAAUGGGAGCCAGAGCCUUUAGUUAUCAAGCUCCUCUUUUAUGGAACCAGCUUCCAAUUUCAGUCCGGGAGGCAGACACAGUCACCUCGUUUAAGAGUCGACUUAAGACCUUCCUCUUUGACAGAGCUUAUAGUUAGGGCUGAAUCAGGUUCACCUGGUCCAGCCCCUUGAUAUGCUGCUAUAGGCUUAUAGCUGCCGGGGGACGUUUAGGAUGCACUGAGUACCUAUCUCCUCUUUUUUCUCUCCUUAAGGAUGAAUUUUUCAUCUCUCAAUCACACGUUACUAACUCUGCUUUCUCCCCGGAGUCCUUUUGACUUCACGUCUCAUGGGGUCAUCGGACCCUAUGAGACGGCAUAGAUCCUAUCUGCUGAUGGAUCAUCGAGAUCUGGGUCGUGGAAUUCCUGCUCAUGACUACGCCACUGUCCUGUUGAGACUCCGCCCACUGUUGAGACUCCGCCCACUCCUCCUCCCCACCGCCAUCUGCCUGAUGGAUCGUGGAGGUCUCCAUCGUGGAAUAUGCCUACUAUGAACUAUUCAUACACUCUGUCACAUUCAUUGAAUGUAUUUUAACUCUAAAUCUGUCCUUCUGGUCACAUGACAUCUAUUGUUCUGUCCAUCCUGGAGAGGGAUCCUCCUCUGUUGCUCUCCUGCAGGUUUCUUCCCUUUUUUUCCCCCUGAAGGAUUAUUUGGGAGUUUUUCCUGGUCCGAUGUGAGGUUUUGGGGCAGGGAUGUCUAUGUGUACAGAUUGUAAAGCACUCCGAGACAAAUUUGUAAUUUGUGAAAUUGGGCUAUACAAAUAAACUGAAUUGAAUUGAAUUGAAUUGGAGAGAUGUCAUGUGACACAAGAGAGGUCAUGUGACACUUUCCUCUGGAGAGAUGUCAUGUGACUUCAGGUUUCCUCUGGAGAGAUGUCAUGUGACACCGAGAGAGGUCAUGUGACACUUUCCUCUGGAGAGAUGUCAUGUGACUUCAGGUUUCCUCUAGAAAGAGGUCAUGUGACUUCAGGUUUCCUCUUGAGAGAGGUCAUGUGACUUCAGGUUUCCUCUGGAGAGAUGUCAUGUGACACCGAGAGAGGUCAUGUGACACUUUCCUCUGGAGAGAGGUCAUGUGCGCCGAAAACAACGCCAUGUCGCGUUCAGGGGAGUCGGGACGUUUUCUCACAGGAUAAAUUACAGGAACUGACGUGUCGUUAAUAAUUCAUCCCCCGCGAGGAAAGGAGAUCAAUAAUGUAUCAAGGCAACAAAGUAUCAAAGUAUCAAUACAACAAUGUAUCAAUGUAUCAGUGUAAUAAAGUAUCAACGUAUCAAUACAUCGGUGUAUCAGUGUUAUAACAGAUCAGUGAGGUGGAUCUAUUGAGUGUUGUUCAUCUUUCUAUCGGUUAUCAUGACAUUUAUUGAUCUGGAAUCUACGACAAGGCAGACGGCAACAACAACAACAACAACAACAACAACAACA
Long non-coding RNA from Pseudoliparis swirei, 1709 nucleotides. RefSeq lists it as uncharacterized. The record is from RefSeq and is a predicted model, not a curated record. The transcript has 2 exons. Lineage: Eukaryota; Metazoa; Chordata; Actinopteri; Perciformes; Liparidae.